GGUGGGAUGACAAACUCGGUUGU
RNAcentral lists this non-coding RNA (23 nucleotides) under Arabidopsis thaliana (thale cress). The record is from RNAcentral. Lineage: Eukaryota; Viridiplantae; Streptophyta; Magnoliopsida; Brassicales; Brassicaceae.